Molecule: ribosomal RNA, 253 nt
Filed under: uncultured bacterium
Lineage: Bacteria
Description: partial 16S ribosomal RNA
Rfam family: Bacterial small subunit ribosomal RNA
Source: RNAcentral
GACAGAGGGUGCAAACGUUGUUCGGAAUUACUGGGCGUAAAGCGCGUGUAGGCGGCCUUGCAAGUCGGAUGUGAAAGCCCUCGGCUCAACCGGGGAAGUGCACCCGAAACUGCAAGGCUCGAGUUCCGGAGAGGAUAGUGGAGUUCUCGGUGUAGAGGUGAAAUUCGUAGAUAUCGAGAGGAACACCGGUGGCGAAGGCGGCUAUCUGGACGGUGACUGACGCUGAGACGCGAAAGCGUGGGGAGCAAACAGG